AAUGUCCUACGGGGGGCAGCAGUGGGGAAUAUUGCACAAUGGGGGAAACCCUGAUGCAGCAACGCCGCGUGAAGGAAGACGGGUUUCGGAUUGUGUACUUCUUUUCUUAGUGAAGAAGCAAGUGACGGUAGCUAAGGAAUAAGCAUCGGCUAACUACGUGCCAGCAGCCGCGGUAAUACGUAGGAUGCGAGCGUUAUCCGGAGUUACUGGGUGUAAAGGGAGCGCAGGCGGGACUGCA
This 238-nucleotide ribosomal RNA is filed under the name uncultured bacterium. Its description in RNAcentral is "partial 16S ribosomal RNA". It matches the Rfam family "Bacterial small subunit ribosomal RNA", at positions 333 to 585 of the family's 1533-position model. The record is from RNAcentral.